This 1068-nucleotide long non-coding RNA is filed under the name Homo sapiens (human). Its description in RNAcentral is "non-protein coding LINC01569:4". Lineage: Eukaryota; Metazoa; Chordata; Mammalia; Primates; Hominidae. The record is from RNAcentral.
CUUCAGCGCGCUGCCUGCCUGCCCAGGGCCUUCCCGGAGAGCAGGUGACGGCGGCCUCCGGGCAUGGAGCUCGCGCUGACGAAAGGUUCUGGAAGCCGCCGUAAAAAGUAAUCAAGAAACGGGUGACAGGACUUUUCCCCUUUGAGGAACCGUUUGAGGUGUGGCACGAUACAGCAAGUCAGCUGCCAAAGAGGGGCUUAGCCACAGGAAGUGCGUGCCCAGAACGCAUCUCCCGUGUCCCUCACAGCAGUUCUAUGAGGCUGGCUGCCCUGUUUGACAACUGAGGCCCGCAUCUUCCCCGGAAUCACCGACGUGUGGCUCUGAGCCCUGUCCCAGGGAUUUUCUCCAUCAGAGAAGAGGAGCACUUUGAGCUUUGAGAGGAGCAGCCCUCUGCAAGUGAAGUGGAAAAAAAGGAAGCAGGCGAGGAGGCCCAUCCAGACCCUCCCCCAAGACCCUUGCUGAAAUGGCUGGGAUGCGGCGUGCAGAAGCUCUCCUUUCCUUCACAGCCCCUGGCUUUCCAAGAGUCCCUGCCCACCCAGAUGCCCGCUGGCAGAUGCAGCCUCAUCUCAAGGACACUGCUUGCUGGAUAAAUCCCUCACCACCCUAGAGACAGCCCACGGUCCUGAGACAAGGAUGCGGGCCAGGCUUGUUGCACGUAAGCGCCUCCCGCAGAAACCAGUGAGGCCGGAGUUCCAGAGGAAAUGAUGUAGGGACAGAGGCAGAGGGCCUCCAGGAGGCACCAGCCCCAGAGUCUUCCCUAGAAUCAGACUUUAAGCACAAGCAGGGAGGGAAAGCACUUGAGCAGUGCCCGUCCCUGCAUACCUGGCCUCUGCUGGAACCCAUGCAGGGACAGGACACUUCUUUAUCAGCAAUCCUGUUCCUCUCCUGGGCAGCUUCAACCUGAACAUCCUCCUUCACCUUGAGCUAAAAUGGGUUUCUUGUCACCCUUGCCCAUCAAACCUGGCCUUGCCCUCAGGAACCACACAGGACAAGCCUAAUACUUCCUUCUUGUGGCAACACUUUAGCAAUUGAGACCUGGCUGUCAGGUCCUCCAAAUAAACAUUUGUG